This 305-nucleotide ribosomal RNA is filed under the name uncultured bacterium. RNAcentral describes it as "bacterial SSU rRNA". It matches the Rfam family "Bacterial small subunit ribosomal RNA", at positions 334 to 656 of the family's 1533-position model. The record is from RNAcentral.
CGGUCCUACGGGACGCAGCAGUAAGGGAUAUUGGUCAAUGGGGGAAACCCUGAACCAGCAACGCCGCGUGAGGGAAGACGGUUUUCGGAUUGUAAACCUCUGUCCUCUGUGAAGAUGAUGACGGUAGCAGAGGAGGAAGCUCCGGCUAACUACGUGCCAGCAGCCGCGGUAAUACGUAGGUGGCAAGCGUUGUCCGGAUUUACUGGGUGUAAAGGGCGUGUGGCCGGGCUGACAAGUCGGAUGUGAAAUUCCGGGGCUCAACCCCGGACCUGCAUUUGAAACUGUUGGUCUUGAGUAUCGGAGAG